RNAcentral lists this ribosomal RNA (454 nucleotides) under uncultured bacterium. RNAcentral describes it as "bacterial SSU rRNA". It matches the Rfam family "Bacterial small subunit ribosomal RNA", at positions 340 to 786 of the family's 1533-position model. The record is from RNAcentral.
UACGGGAGGCAGCAGUGGGGAAUCUUGCGCAAUGGGCGAAAGCCUGACGCAGCGACGCCGCGUGAGGGAAGAAGGCCUUCGGGUUGUAAACCUCUUUCAGGAGGGACGAAGCCACUCGGGUUAAUACCCCAGAGGGUGACGGUACCUUCAGAAGAAGCCCCGGCUAACUACGUGCCAGCAGCCGCGGUAAUACGUAGGGGCAAGCGUUGUCCGGAAUCAUUGGGCGUAAAGAGCGUGUAGGCGGCCAGAUAAGUCCGCUGUGAAAUCUCGAGGCUCAACUUCGAGCUGUCGGUGGAAACUGUCUGGCUAGAGUCCGGAAGAGGAGAAUGGAAUUCCUGGUGUAGCGGUGAAAUGCGCAGAUAUCAGGAAGAACACCCGUGGCGAAGGCGGUUCUCUGGGACGGGUACUGACGCUGAGACGCGAAAGCGUGGGGAGCGAACAGGGAUUAGAUACC